RNAcentral lists this ribosomal RNA (470 nucleotides) under uncultured bacterium. RNAcentral describes it as "bacterial SSU rRNA". It matches the Rfam family "Bacterial small subunit ribosomal RNA", at positions 62 to 525 of the family's 1533-position model. The record is from RNAcentral.
UCGAACGGCAGCACGGGAGCUUGCUCCUGGUGGCGAGUGGCGAACGGGUGAGUAAAGCAUCGGAACGUACCUUGUCGAGGGGGAUAACGCAGCGAAAGUUGUGCUAAUACCGCAUACGUCCUGAGGGAGAAAGCGGGGGACCGCAAGGCCUCGCGCGAUGAGAGCGGCCGAUGUCAGAUUAGCUAGUUGGUGAGGUAAAGGCUCACCAAGGCGACGAUCUGUAGCGGGUCUGAGAGGAUGAUCCGCCACACUGGAACUGAGACACGGUCCAGACUCCUACGGGAGGCAGCAGUGGGGAAUUUUGGACAAUGGGCGCAAGCCUGAUCCAGCCAUGCCGCGUGAGUGAAGAAGGCCUUCGGGUUGUAAAGCUCUUUCAGACGGAAAGAAAUCGGGCGCGUGAAUAGCGUGCCUGGAUGACGGUACUGUCAGAAGAAGCACCGGCUAACUACGUGCCAGCAGCCGCGGUAAUA